This 305-nucleotide unclassified non-coding RNA is filed under the name plant metagenome. RNAcentral describes it as "partial contains 5.8S ribosomal RNA, internal transcribed spacer 2, and large subunit ribosomal RNA". The stretch from base 1 to 105 matches the Rfam family "5.8S ribosomal RNA", at positions 50 to 154 of the family's 154-position model. The record is from RNAcentral.
GAAAUGCGAUAAGUAGUGUGAAUUGCAGAAUUCAGUGAAUCAUCGAAUCUUUGAACGCAUAUUGCGCCCCUCGGUAUUCCGUGGGGCAUGCCUGUUCGAGCGUCAUCUACACCCUCAAGCUCUGCUUGGUGUUGGGCGUCUGUCCCGCCUCCUUCGCGCGCGGACUCGCCCCAAAUCCAUUGGCGGCCGGUACAUUGGCUUCGAGCGCAGCAGAAACGCGGUCUCGAGUCCGGUGGAUCGGCUCCCAUAAGCCUUCUUUUUUAUUUUGACCUCGGAUCAGGUAGGGAUACCCGCUGAACUUAAGC